This 484-nucleotide ribosomal RNA is filed under the name uncultured bacterium. RNAcentral describes it as "partial 16S ribosomal RNA". It matches the Rfam family "Bacterial small subunit ribosomal RNA", at positions 30 to 507 of the family's 1533-position model. The record is from RNAcentral.
AUUGAACGCUGGCGGCAGGCCUAACACAUGCAAGUCGAGCGGAUGAAUGGUGCUUGCUCCUGGAUUCAGCGGCGGACGGGGGAGUAAUGCCGAGGAAACUGCCUGGGAAUGGGGGAUGACGGCGGGGAACGGGCGCUAAUACCGCAUACGACCUGAGGGAGAAAUUGGUUGAUGUUCGGACAUCACGCUAACGGAUGAGCUUAGGUCGGAUUAGCUAGAUGGUGGGUGAAAGGCCUACUAAGGCGACGAUCGGUACCUGGUCUGAGAGGAUGAUCAGUCACCCUGGAACUGAGAACCGCUCCAGACUCCUCCGGGAGGAAGCAGUGGGGAAUAUCGGACAUUGGGCGAAAGCCUGCUCCAGACCUGCCGCGUGUGUGAAGAAGGUCUCCGGAUUGUAAAGUCCUUUAAGUUGGGAGAAAGGGCAGUAAGUUAAUACCUUGCUGUUUUGACGUUACCAAACGAAUAAGCACCGGCUAACUUCGUG